This 301-nucleotide ribosomal RNA is filed under the name uncultured bacterium. RNAcentral's name for it is "partial 16S ribosomal RNA". It matches the Rfam family "Bacterial small subunit ribosomal RNA", at positions 509 to 807 of the family's 1533-position model. The record is from RNAcentral.
CAGUAGCCGCGGGAAUACGAAGGGUGCAAGCGUUACUCGGAAUUACUGGGCGUAAAGCGUGCGUAGGUGGUGGUUUAAGUCCGUUGUGAAAGCCCUGGGCUCAACCUGGGAAUUGCAGUGGAUACUGGGUCACUAGAGUGUGGUAGAGGAUAGUGGAAUUUCCGGUAUAGCAGUGAAAUGCGUAGAGAUCGGAAGGAACAUCUGUGGCGAAGGCGACUAUCUGGGCCAACACUGACACUGAGGCACGAAAGCGUGGGGAGCAAACAGGAUUAGAGACCCCCGUAGUCCCUGUCUCUUAUAC